Molecule: ribosomal RNA, 491 nt
Filed under: Centipeda sp. oral taxon D51
Lineage: Bacteria; Bacillati; Bacillota; Negativicutes; Selenomonadales; Selenomonadaceae
Description: bacterial SSU rRNA
Rfam family: Bacterial small subunit ribosomal RNA
Source: RNAcentral
GACGAACGCGGCGGCGUGCUUAACACAUGCAAGUCGAACGGGAUGAUUUAGAAGCUUGCUUUUAGAGAAUCUAGUGGCAAACGGGUGAGUAACUCGUAGACAACCUGCCGACAGGAUGGGGACAACAUUCCGAAAGGAAUGCUAAUACCGAAUGAAGUCGAGGGAAGGCAUCUUCCUUCGAUGAAAGAUGGCCUCUGAAUAUGCUAUCACCUGUCGAUGGGUCUGCGUCUGAUUAGUUGGUUGGUGAGGUAACGGCUCACCAAGGCGACGAUCAGUAGCCGGUCUGAGAGGAUGAACGGCCACAUUGGGACUGAGACACGGCCCAGACUCCUACGGGAGGCAGCAGUGGGGAAUCUUCCGCAAUGGGCGCAAGCCUGACGGAGCAACGCCGCGUGAGUGAAGAAGGUCUUCGGAUCGUAAAGCUCUGUUGAUGGGGACGAACGUACGGAGUGCGAAUAGUGCUCUGUAAUGACGGACCAUCAAGAGCCCGG